Molecule: long non-coding RNA, 543 nt
Organism: Pipistrellus kuhlii (Kuhl's pipistrelle)
Lineage: Eukaryota; Metazoa; Chordata; Mammalia; Chiroptera; Vespertilionidae
Exons: 3
Source: RefSeq, a predicted model, not a curated record
GUAGUAACCUCAGGCAACCCCGGUUGUACAACCCAUGUGAUACCACUGUAUGUAAAAUUUCUUGCUUAGGCACCUCCAAUUCCUAUGUUCCCCCUCCCCUAGGCCGCCUAUAAAAGGAGGGAAGAUAGUGCAGAUCCCAGAAGGAGGCCAGCAGUAGUGAUUCCCAGAGCUCCGUCUCAGUUCUGCCUACACUUCUCUGCCUGCCCAGCAUCAUGAAGUUCCUUGAAGCUACCAUCCUGGUCAUCCUCUGCACCGGGGUCCUCUGCUUCCUUGAGGAAGGCUUGCCGGAGCUCCUGAGCAACUAACUCAUUGUUGUCUUUACAGAAACCACCUGCUGCAUGUCCUACGUGUCCCGGAAGAUCCCCCAAAAAUUUGUGGUUGCCUAUUUUGAGACCAGCAGCAAGUGCCUCCAACAUGGUGUUGUCUUUCUCACCAAAAGGGGCCUGCAUAUCUGUGCCAAUCCCAGCGAUGCCUGGGUUCAGGAAUACAUCAACACCAUGCAGGAGGUCCCCGAGAGGGCCACUUUUCCAGUGGACAGCAGGA